GGGAUAUAGUUUAAUGGUAGAACUACGGUCUCCAAAACCGUCAGUGUGGGUUCAACUCCUACUAUCCUGCCA
RNAcentral lists this transfer RNA (72 nucleotides) under Pediococcus acidilactici. RNAcentral's name for it is "tRNA-Trp". It matches the Rfam family "tRNA". From Rfam's summary of the family: Transfer RNA (tRNA) molecules are approximately 80 nucleotides in length. Lineage: Bacteria; Bacillati; Bacillota; Bacilli; Lactobacillales; Lactobacillaceae. The record is from RNAcentral.